This 467-nucleotide ribosomal RNA is filed under the name uncultured bacterium. RNAcentral's name for it is "partial 16S ribosomal RNA". It matches the Rfam family "Bacterial small subunit ribosomal RNA", at positions 28 to 507 of the family's 1533-position model. The record is from RNAcentral.
GACGAACGCUGGCGGCGUGCUUAACACAUGCAAGUCGAACGGAAAGGCCUCUUUCGGGGGGUACUCGAGUGGCGAACGGGUGAGUAACACGUGAGUAACCUGCCCUUGACUUUGGGAUAACUUCAGGAAACCGGGGCUAAUACCGGAUAGGAGCUCCUGCUGCAUGGUGGGGGUUGGAAAGUUUCGGCGGUUGGGGAUGGACUCGCGGCUUAUCAGCUUGUUGGUGGGGUAGUGGCUUACCAAGGCUUUGACGGGUAGCCGGCCUGAGAGGGUGACCGGCCACAUUGGGACUGAGAUACGGCCCAGACUCCUACGGGAGGCAGCAGUGGGGAAUAUUGCACAAUGGGUGGAAGCCCGAUGCAGCAACGCCGUGUGCGGGAUGACGGCCUUCGGGUUGUAAACCGCUUUCGCUCAUGACGAAGCUUUGUGUGACGGUAGUGGGUAAAGAAGCACCGGCUAACUACGUG